GUCGAGCGGUAACGGGGUAGCUUGCUACCCGCUGACGAGNNNNNNACGGGUGAGUAAUGCAUAGGAAUCUGCCCGAUAGUGGGGGAUAACCUGGGGAAACCCAGGCUAAUACCGCAUAAGUCCUACGGGAGAAAGGGGGCUCCGGCUCCCGCUAUUGGAUGAGCCUAUGUCGGAUUAACUAGUUGGUGAGGUAAUGGCUCACCAANNNAACGAUCCGUAGCUGGUCUGAGAGGAUGAUCAGCCACAUCGGGACUGAGACACGGCCCGAACUCCUACGGGAGGCAGCAGUGGGGAAUAUUGGACAAUGGGCGAAAGCCUGAUCCAGCCAUGCCGCGUGUGUGAAGAAGGCCCUCGGGUUGUAAAGCACUUUCAGCGAGGAAGAACGCCUAGUGGUUAAUACCCAUUAGGAAAGACAUCACUCGCAGAAGAAGCACCGGCUAACUCCGUGCCAGCAGCCGCGGUAAUACGGAGGGUGCAAGCGUUAAUCGGAAUUACUGGGCGUAAAGCGCGCGUAGGUGGCUUGAUAAGCCGGUUGUGAAAGCCCCGGGCUCAACCUGGGAACGGCAUCCGGAACUGUCAAGCUAGAGUGCAGGAGAGGAAGGUAGAAUUCCCGGUGUAGCGGUGAAAUGCGUAGAGAUCGGGAGGAAUACCAGUGGCGAAGGCGGCCUUCUGGACUGACACUGACACUGAGGUGCGAAAGCGUGGGUAGCAAACAGGAUUAGAUACCCUGGUAGUCCACGCCGUAAACGAUGUCGACCAGCCGUUGGGUGCCUAGCGCACUUUGUGGCGAAGUUAACGCGAUAAGUCGACCGCCUGGGGAGUACGGCCGCAAGGUUAAAACUCAAAUGAAUUGACGGGGGCCCGCGCAAGCGGUGGAGCAUGUGNNNNNAUUCGAUGCAACGCGAAGAACCU
RNAcentral lists this ribosomal RNA (912 nucleotides) under uncultured bacterium. RNAcentral describes it as "bacterial SSU rRNA". It matches the Rfam family "Bacterial small subunit ribosomal RNA", at positions 61 to 971 of the family's 1533-position model. The record is from RNAcentral.